Molecule: ribosomal RNA, 341 nt
Filed under: uncultured Latescibacterota bacterium
Lineage: Bacteria; Pseudomonadati; Candidatus Latescibacterota
Description: bacterial SSU rRNA
Rfam family: Bacterial small subunit ribosomal RNA
Source: RNAcentral
AACGAACGCUGGCGGCGUGGAUUAGGCAUGCAAGUCGAACGAGAAAGUUUCUUCGGAAACUGAGUAAAGUGGCAAACGGGUGAGUAACGCGUGGGAAACUUACCUUUCAGUUGGGGGACAACACUUCUAACGAGGUGCUAAUACCGAAUACGAUCAUUCAGUCGCAUGGGUGGAUGAUGAAAGGCGGCCUCUGUUUACAAGCUGUCACUGAAAGAUGGUCCCGCGUCCCAUUAGCUAGUUGGUGAGGUAACGGCCCACCAAGGCUACGAUGGGUAGCCGGCCUUAGCGGGUGUCCGGCCACACUGGGACUGAGAUACGGCCCAGACUCCUACGGGAGGCUG